This 497-nucleotide ribosomal RNA is filed under the name uncultured bacterium. Its description in RNAcentral is "partial 16S ribosomal RNA". It matches the Rfam family "Bacterial small subunit ribosomal RNA", at positions 28 to 507 of the family's 1533-position model. The record is from RNAcentral.
GAUGAACGCUGGCGGCGUGCCUAAUACAUGCAAGUCGAGCGAACAGACGAGGAGCUUGCUCCUCUGACGUCAGCGGCGGACGGGUGAGUAACACGUGGAUAACCUACCUAUAAGACUGGGAUAACUUCGGGAAACCGGAUCUAAUACCGGAUAAUAUAUUGAACCGCAUGGUUCAAUAGUGAAAGACGGUUUUGCUGUCACUUAUAGAUGUAUCCGCGCCGCAUUAGCUAGUUGGUAAGGUAACGGCUUACCAAGGCAACGAUGCGUAGCCGACCUGAGAGGGUGAUCGGCCACACUGGAACUGAGACACGGUCCAGACUCCUACGGGAGGCAGCAGUAGGGAAUCUUCCGCAAUGGGCGAAAGCCUGACGGAGCAACGCCGCGUGAGUGAUGAAGGUCUUCGGAUCGUAAAACUCUGUUAUUAGGGAAGAACAAAUGUGUAAGUAACUAUGCACGUCUUGACGGUACCUAAUCAGAAAGCAACGGCUAACUACGUG